CGCGUAGGCGGCCUUCUAAGUCGGACGUGAAAUCCCUCAGCUUAACUGGGGAACUGCGUCCGAUACUGGAUGGCUUGGAUUUGGGAGAGGGAUGCGGAAUUCCAGGUGUAGCGGUGAAAUGCGUAGAUAUCUGGAGGAACACCGGUGGCGAAGGCGGCAUCCUGGACCAAUAUUGACGCUGAGGAGCGAAAGCUAGGGGAGCAAACG
RNAcentral lists this ribosomal RNA (207 nucleotides) under uncultured bacterium. RNAcentral's name for it is "partial 16S ribosomal RNA". It matches the Rfam family "Bacterial small subunit ribosomal RNA", at positions 568 to 774 of the family's 1533-position model. The record is from RNAcentral.